ACGAACGCUGGCGGCGCGCCUAAUACAUGCAAGUCGAGCGAGAAGGUGUAGCAAUACACUUGUAAAGCGGCGAACGGGUGAGGAAUGCAUGGUAACCUACCUCGAUGGGAAUAACUAGCCGAAAGGUUAGCUAAUACCGCAUACGUUUCCGGAACUUCGGUUUCGGAAAGAAAGCAAUACCGUGGUAUUGCGCUCCUGGAUGGGCUCAUGUCCUAUCAGCUUGUUGGUGAGGUAACGGCUCACCAAGGCUUCGACGGGUAGCUGGUCUGAGAGGACGAUCAGCCACACUGGCACUGCGACACGGGCCAGACUCCUACGGAGGCAGCAGUAAGGAAUAUUGCGCAAUGGACGAAAGUCUGACGCAGCGACGCCGCGUGGGGAUGAAGGUCUUCGGAUUGUAAACCCUUUCGGAGGGAAGAUGGAGUGGGUAACCACUUGGACGGUACCUCCAGAAGCAGCCACGGCUAACUUCGUG
Molecule: ribosomal RNA, 475 nt
Filed under: uncultured bacterium
Lineage: Bacteria
Description: bacterial SSU rRNA
Rfam family: Bacterial small subunit ribosomal RNA
Source: RNAcentral